CAAAAUUUCUUUAAAAAACUUAUUUAAUCUACAUGUCUUUAAUCAAAGAUUUCCAAACAUAUAAAAAUGCAUUUUGAAUUUUCUACAGGGAAGAGAGAUCUAAAAUUCAGAAAUUUCUUUUAAAUAUUUAUUUUUUCACAUUCUCUUUAUGACUUUUAAAAAUUUAUAUUUUAUCCCAUCAAAAUUUCAAAUUAAUAUACUUAACCCCUUUCUGCUAGAGUUUUUUUUUAUUGUUUCAUCUAUUUCAUAUAAUUUAUAACAAAAUUUUCUUUUAAAACAGUAAAAAUAUUAUAUAUAUAUAUAGGCUGAAAUACUAUUGAUAACAAAAUAUUUUUUUUGCUAUCAAGUUUUUAACCCUUUGAUGAAAAACUGUAGAAUUAGAAUGAUAUUAGCUCCUUAAAAUUGAGUGAUCUCCUAAAAUUGAAUGGUUCCCACUGAAUUAUAAUAUUUAAUUCAAUGGUUAGAAAUGAUGAAAAAAUUAAUCCGAAAAUUAAAAACUUGAUAGCAAAAAAGACUAUUAAUAAUAUUCUAGCCCAACUCUCUCUCUAUAUAUAUAUUUAUAUUUCUAAAGCAAGUAUAAGAAUAAUCUGAUUAUUUGGUUCUUUCAAUUAACGGCAUAAUUUUUAAAAAAUAUUUUUAAAAUUUUAAGUGAAUAAAAUAUAAAUUUUUAAAAGUCAGUGGAGAUUUACAAUUUUUUUAAUAUUUUAGCCAUUAUUAUUUAUAAGUUUUAAGAUUUAGGGCGCCGUAACUGGACCAUUCUAAAUAAGCUCGAGUUAAGUCGCGGUCCAAGUCAAGCAAAUUCGCACCCAGGUAAAUAAAACGGCGGAGCACGUUUCCGACCCGGUCUCGAACCCAAGCCCAGCCCGACCCAAAACGCGACGCGGUGAUCUCACAGCGCGUGACCACACUUGAAAAUCAAGUCUCCGCGGCAGGAUCGAACGGACGGCCGAGAUCCCCCCGAGGAGGAGAUUUUUUUUUUUGUAUCGCGCCGCUGCCCACAAGCUUCCCCCGCGCCCCCUCCGCACCCCCUCGGGCCGCGUCGCGCUUAGAGAGAGAGAGAGAGAGAGAGAGAGAGAGCGCACGAAAGGAGAAGGGGCUCGAAGUUGGGGGUAUUUACGAGAUUGCCCCUAUCAAUAGGUGCACGCGACGUAAAAAGGACGAGCCGGGGGAGGUGGGGCCCAUCGUGGGGUGGUGGGGCCCGCCCGGGGUACCAAGUGGACACCGCAAGUUGGUGCUGGGUUCGUGGCAAGGCUUUCCUUAUCAGGUAAAGGGCCCUGUUGUUGGUGGCCGAAGUACUGGUGGUGAUGAUUACGAAAUAAACGAUAUUACCAAGUUUUUUUUUUUCUUUUUUUUUUUUUUUUUUUUUUUUUUUGUUGUUGUUGUUGUGUGUGUGUGUGAAUCAUAUUGACGACGCGACAGAUACGUAGAAAUAGGGGUGUAAUGUUUGUCGUGUCGGACCAACACAGCCUACAUUUACCCGGACCGAAAUUCGCUGCGAAGAGGCUCGGCUUCAAAUUCGGAUCGGAUAAUGUCGCCCAUCACAGAUCAAGUGGGCCGGGCCGUACUGGCCCCAAGGCUUAUAUCUUCGCUCGGCACGACUCAGGUUCGUUUCGAAUCGUGCCAUGCUUAGCAACGAGCCUAUGAUGAGGAUCAGGCCGAAUCGGGCCGAUACUAAGUGUUACGGUAUUUGUACAGUCUCUCGGGACGUAACAGCCCGCAGUCUAUUUGGUGCUGAGAAUUAAGAUUUAAAUUUUUUCUAAAUCGACUCACCAGCUAAUAAUUAUUAUUGUAAUAUUAUUAUAUAAUUUUUAAAUUUAUACCGCUUCCUUAGGAGAGGAUGUAAACGUGGCAGCCUACGAGGUUGCCACGUGUACAAUUGACCUGGCCCACCUUCCCCUUCUUCGGUUCCUCCCAUCGUUUUACUUCGUUCCGUAAUUGCCCUCGUAGAUCUCGGCAAUCCGAAGCUAGAACGCUUUCGGAUCCGGACAGAGAACAGGAAAUAAAACUAAGGGUAUUUUAGUAAUUUUCCACAUAACUUUUAAAUCCGCCACCUUCUCCUCCUCAUCUUCUUUCUCCUCCUUUUUGUCCCUCUCCGUUUUUCUCUCUCUCUUACAAUGGCAGCUUCUCCUCUUGAAUAAGGUAACAAACCCUAUCUAUGGAUUUAUAUACAUAUUAUUAUUUGUCUCUUUUCUUUUUUUUUCCUUUUUAUUUGUUUGGUUUCAAUUCAGUCCCUUAAUAAAAAACAAUGUUGAAUCAGACUCCUUUUAUCUACUUUUCUCUGAAAUUUUUUUUUUUUUACUCCAACUUAUUGAGGAAAUAGAUUUUGUUUUUAAGGUUUCCUUUCUAUAUUCAUUUUGGACAUUGUCACAUUACAUCUUGGUAGAUUGGAAAUUUUUUAUUUUUGCAUUUUUCUAGGACUUAUUAUUAUUUUUCCUAUCUAUUCAAUUGAAUUAGUAUGAUAGUACAACCCAAUUUUGAUGUUUAUAUAAAUGAAUGUGGAAAAUAUUAAUAGAAAUCUCAAUUAAUUAUUCAUAUCUGCGAAUUUUAUAUGACAUAUUAUACUCUUUGUAAUAUUAUCCCACCAAAGAUCUAAACUAUAAUAGAUCAUUGAAAUCAAAUGCACCUGAAGGAAAAUUAUUCAGAUGCACAUUUGUUAUAAAUGUAUUGACAAUUAGAUAUUGAAAUUAAGUACCAGUAAAUGGUAUUAUGUAAUUUGGGUUUCCCUUUUCCCUGAUUUAUGGGCUUGUUGUAGGCUUAAUUAGCUUUGUCACCAAUGUCAUGUAAAAGUUUUUGUUUAGUGUCCUUCUUGAGGGGCACAAAGCCCCAUCUAAGUUAGUUUACAAUUGCUACAUAGAAGAUUAAUUUAAUAGGAAUAUAAGGAAACCAUCUAGAACUAAUUUUAAACACCCCUACUCACGUACAUGAUAUGAAUCAGAAAAACCGCCAUGUCGCUCGGCUAGAACAACAGGUAACUGAUGAGAACUUAAUCCAUCAAACAUCAGUUGUGGCGAGUUCAGGGGCUCGUAGAAGAGCAAUCUGAUAGGAAACAACCUAGAAAUAUUUUUAACACUAAUCACGUUGUUUCAUUUCUCUUAGCAUUUCUUACUAUUCAAGCGCUGCUCGAGAAGUGUCUGAUAAAAUCUCUGAGCAGAAACUGUUUAAUUAAAACUUAACCUGGAAUGUGAUAUGAUUAACAUAAUCUGUAUAUUCUGGUUGCUUGCAUGUGAUGCUCUGUUUAAUAAGAAGGAUGCGCAACAAAAAUUCCUCUGCAUUAGACUGAUAAACUGGUACAUGCCAUACAGAUCUCGCUGCCGACCUCACAUGACGCGCCAGAAUUCGUAGAACUGCAGGAGACUUCUCUUAGCCAUAGUCUCAUGUGAUAACUCCGAAUAAAUUAUAAGAUUCUGAUUUUGAGGGCACCGAAUCAUGUGCCGUCACGUUAGCUCAAUUCAGGCUUUCUCAGCAAUCUAUGGUUGGUCUUAAUGAUCUAGCUGUUUAAGGAAUUCAUUAUUCUAUAGAUUGAUUUGUUAAUAGGUCAUGCAAUUACUUGAGUGGCUCGAAAGCUAAGGAGAUUAUGGUUUCUACAGAUUGAUUUGUUAUGUAUAAUAUUAGAUUACACAUGACUAUUUUUGUAGUUUGGGAGUGCUUCUCAUGCACGCUGUGGAUGAGCUCUAAAGCAAUUUUCAAUUUUGCGGAGCUUUAAAGCAUCGAAGUAACUAUCAUAUGGAAAGCAUUCCCAAACAAGUUGUUAGUCUCAAAAGCAAUAUCUUUUAGGGUUUUUGCGCCUUCUUUUUUUUGUGAAAAGGAGAAUUUGGCAAUUUUCUCUUUUUAUGGUUGCAGUAUAAAUUGAUAGAUGAUCAAUAACACCAUUUUUAUGACAUCUUUUUCUCUUCCAGUUGUACUAUGAGUGGCUGCGAUCUUAUUGUAUGUUAUCUAGUUCUCUGUAGUGUGUCAUGGCGAAAUUUGAUUUCAGAUACGUUAAAAGGUUCACAAACUUAUUCAGUUUACCAUGAAUUAUAUAUCAAUUUACUUUCUUUUUCUAGACCUUGGCCUUAUACUUGCAGAUAUCUCUUGGCUUUGGCCAACUUCUCCUUACAGCGUCUCUAACAUAUGUUUUCUUUCUUAUCAUCAUCAGCAUGAACAAAGUAGAAUGCUUAGGGACGUGAAGACCUAAAUGAUCACGACGAGUCGGAACCAAAACCCUAAGUUCGGUGAUCAUCACUAGUAAGCCACCUCCAAACCAUGGGAGACGAGGGAGGGAAAGUAACAGGGAUCCGCCAAAUAGUAAGACUCAGAGAGCUUCUCCAAAAGUGGCAAUCUGUCACUCUCGGCCCAAAGGAAGAGCAACAACCUAGUAAUAAGCCUUCGGGAAUCCCUCCUUCUAUCGACAAGCGGUUGAAGGGCGUCAGUGUUGGGUGCGACUCAGAUGAGGAGAACUGCCAAAGUCCGGAGCCGCCUCCAGAUGUUCCCAAGGGGUAUUGCCCCGUGUAUGUGGGGCCAGAGCAGCGGAGGUUUGUUAUACCGACGAGUUAUUUAGGUCUUCCGGUGUUUAAGCUGCUUCUGGAGAAGGCCGAGGAGGAGUUUGGGUUUGAUCACAAGGGCGCGCUCACGCUGCCGUGCGAGAUCGAGACAUUCAAGUACAUACUCCAGUGCAUGGAGAGGCACAAGCAGGGCCUUAUUGAUGAUGGUAUUGUCCUUAAUUUCUUUGCUUUCUUUUUGUUCUCUCUUACACAGAAAUUAAGAUAUGAGACAUUUUAUACAAGUUAAGAGUCUAAAACUAAGAGAUAAAAAUUGCUAAUGAGACCGACUAUUCCUAGCGUAACUAACAAAAAUCUUAAUGGUUAGCAUCCGAAGACCCAAGUUUAAAGUCUAAUAACUUCACAUUUUCAACUAAGUUCAUUUUUAAAAAAAAUGAAUGAAUCGAAUAGCAUACUAUCUUUAUUUAGAAAAGUAAUGUUAAUGAGAUGCUCUGUAGUGUGGCAAAAGAGAAGAUCUCCAAUGUCAUAAUUGAAGUAGGAGGUAGAUUUUCCUGUAGGAAUUUGGAGAUAAAAUUUGGCAAGCAUUUAUAUAAUUCGGUUGCUUCCGAAAAAUAAAAAAAUUUCAUUUUUGGUUCUAAGCAUUCCUUAUCUAAUUUUUUUUUUCCCCCUAUACUUCUCUCUUAUCCUGUUGUAGAAGGGAAUUCCACAGAGGUGGAGGAAUCAUCAUAAAUGAGCACAUCUCAAGAUUUGCUGCUCCCUAUCGCCACCAAUCGGUACACAAAACAUCGUCUUUAGGAAUUCUUUUCUUCCUCCUGAGGAUAGUUGGUGUUCUAUCAGCUCAACGAAACUGUUGUAUCAAUAUGCUCCAACAGUGUUUAAAUGAGUGUUUUAGGGCUAUUAACAUUUUCUUUGCUUAACUAUAUAAUUGCAGGGAAUCUGCUAGAAUCUAUAUAACCCAACAUUCCCUGCCUUUGUAAUGAUGUAACCUUGCGAAUCGAUAUCCCUAAUUGAUUUUCUUUGGCAUCUGAUGCUUGAUUUAGACAUUGUAACUCUUUUUAACUUUCUUUUGUUGUUCAUUUCAUGCUUACCAAUUUCAGCAGUUGGCCAACUUGUGUAAAUUUCUGUGGAUCUACAUGAAAGAUUGAAAGCCAACGAUUAUUCCUAGAAAGAUAUUAUAUAAUUUGCUCAUUUUAUUCCUAGAAAGCUCUUAAUCUUGGUGGAGGAAGAAGCCAUGUUGCACCAUUGAUGAAAUCCUUGCUCAAGAAGGGCCUCGCUUGACUAUCGUUCAGUAUCUUUCCAUAGCUCACGCGGUUUUUAGUCGCGGAACCUGGUCCCGUGCAUUUGUACUCCCCAUAAUACACAGUCCUAUAAUAAAAUAUAAAAUGAGAAAAACUCAGUAAACCACCAACUACUCCGACUAGUUAUUCGAUGCCCUCAUCAAAAUGCAUCUGGUGCCCAAGGGAUAGUGUUAUGAGAUGAAUCAUGAUUAUUGUCUAUAGUGCGCGUUCUACUAUUUGUCUUUUGCUCAAGUGUGGGAAGUGAUAGAUACCUCUGUCGCUCGGGUAAACCCUUGUCGCUCCAGCCGAGGGGGUCGACGAGACUGCCCAUGUACGUGUAGGCGAAGACGACGCGAGAGCGCGGCUUCCAUGCACGGCUCAGAAACGCAUCUCCUGUGCCGGAGAUCCUGCAGGACACGAAGGAGAAGCCGCUCUUGUCGGAGAUAUUCUCCCUUGCUUGGGCUGUGAUAGCCGUGGCGCCAUCCGCAACAGAAUGUAGCUCACAGUUCUGCGCCAUCUUAUUACUAAUUAGUGCCCUUCAAUCUUUUAGACUUCUUCCGAUUCCAGAGUAAAAUUACGAACUUAGGUUAAGUUCUGAUUUAAGUCUUUGAUCUGAUUUAAGUCUUUGAUCGUCAUUAAGCAAAGGAAACUGCUGAUUUUAUUAACAGCAGGGAUGCUAAAUUUAAGUAGUUCUCAAUUAAACUAACUGAAAGAACUUAAAAGUAAUUAAAAAUUAAGUAGGCGCAACAAUAAAACAUAAUAAAUGGUCUACAGUUGCUGCCAAAUAUUUUUGGUAAAAAUGUACGAGAGGGCUAAUAAUCCCUCACCUUUACCUUUUUGUAUUAGCACCAUCUUAAAUCUUGGCUUUUUCUCUUUGUUAAUUUGAAUUACUCACAACGCAAAAUGCAAAAUAGUUGAGAGAGAGAGAGAGAGAGGGUGGGGGCAUACCCGAUACAGGGAUCUCCCAUUGCCGAAGACAAAAUCAACCGUCCCUCUAAUGAAGCAGUUUUUGAAGUAAUGCCUACCUCUAUCGUCACAAAGCGUGUCUUGAUACCCGUAGAAUUUGCAGUUGUAGAACGCUGCUUUGUCCCCCGAUAUUCGCAUCGCAACCGCUUGAGCUCCCGCUUGGCCAUCAGCAGGCUUUGGAGCUGUAUUCUACUAAUGCCACAAUUACUUAACAUAUCAUCUCUAUUAUUUUCUAGCAACGUAAACAGUAGUAAUGCAAGAAUCUCAAACUCUUCCUCUCUUUGAGGUUUCGGUACCUCAAAGAUGAUAUUGCAUGCAACAAAGUAGUGAGACUCGACCGCCACGGUGGCGCUGAGGAACGUGCCAAACUGCGCCGCCGUCCCGUCGAACGAAAUCCUUGGCAUGGCGUGCCGGUCCCCGUAGAACGUGACGAAUGGCUUCGAAUGGUCGACCGUCACCUUCUCCCGGUACAAUCCGGGCCCAAUAUGGAUAACAGUACGCCUCGAGACGCCCGCUGGGAUGCUGUUAACGGCGUCUGCGACCGUCGCAAAGUCCCCCGACCCGUCCUUCCGCACCGUUAUCACUUUCGUGCGGUUCUCCGCAAGGAGAAGAAUCCGCUCAAUGGCUAGUGCAGUCAUACUUCGUCGUGGCAGGAAUUGCCGGACAUUCUCGUAGCGGACGGUGUGGCGGGCUGUAGAGACAGCCGGAAGGAGGAGGAAUAGAGAGACAAAGGCUGCAAUGACCCCUACCUGGAAUUUAGAGGUCGUGUGGUUUCUGGCCAUCGUUUGAUCAUGACGAUUAGCAAACUUUGGAUUGAAGGAGAGAUGAUGUGAGGAUUAAGAAAAUGGCGGUCCUGUCGUAUUCCCUUCCGGACGGUGGUUACGAGCAUAUUAAGAUUGCUAUAAAUGCUGGGAAAGGCAGUUAACUUUAUUAAUUAGACGCAAAUUUAGCGUCUGUGGGUGGGGUUUCACUUGAGUUUGGCCCAUUUACUCACUAAUCUCAAAUGCUAAUCAAUAAUAGAACAAAAUAUAAGAUAGAUUACAAAAGUAAAAGAUUUUACUAUUGGCAUGAAUGAAGGUGGGGGUCAGCAAAAGAAUUUAGGAGCUCUAACAGACAUUGAUCAGAAUACAAGAGAAAUUUUAGUAGUCAAUAUGCCGAAGUAGGCAAUCAAAAUCGGUGUGGACGAAGAAAAUCUGGCGGUAGAGGUAGUUUAAGCUUAGCGCUAAAGAAUUGAAGGUAGGUAUGCAAAGAAGCCAAAGAAGGAGAAAAAUAGUACGCGAUGGACUCAACAAAGAGACAAUAGUGCGUAUACAUAAAACUCCUCAAAACACCUACGAAAACGAUACAAAGUUUUGGUCUCAGCAUCAUCUGGAGCUGAAAGGAGCUGUAGCUGCGGAUCAGCUAGUGGGAACUAACAAGCUGAAGGAAGGCACACCUAAGAAGUAUAUCGAUUCUUCUUUAUUAAAGCAAAAGAAACUUCUCACACAAGUUCAUAUUAUUCCAAUUAAUAAUGUGGAUUGAACCAAAGAAACAGAUGGGUGUCUCUGGUAAGGUCAAGGACAAGGGAUCAAAUGCAAAAUUCAAUUCUAUUAUUGGGAAUAGUAAUAAAAUGGCUAAGGGAAAGAUUAUUUGGUGGAGAAGGAGAAUGACAGGGGAGCUAGGAGAAGAGUAACAACAAGUGAAAAAACCUGUAAGCGAUAAAAGUCCUUAGUAUCUUAGAGGUAAGAAGGUGUAGUGAGAAAAAAGUACAAUGGGGGUAUGGAAAUUUUAAUUUGAUAAUUUUCAGGAGAGCAAAACAACUAAUCCUGAAAUGGGGCAGUUGGCAAGAGGCAAUGGAAAAUUGAUAUAUGAGACUGGUUAAAUGCAGAGCGUAGCGGAGGAGGUAUACAAAUGGAGAGAUUCUAGGAGGUAUAUAAAUGGUAUGGAAGAGGUUCAAACAGAUAGAAAAAAAUAGGAAGUUAGAGAGAGAAAUAAAAUGGACAAAACAGAAUAAAGUGAAGAAUCGAGGAAAGAAACUGAGAAACUUAAGAAGGGAGAAGAGCAGUAACUUCAUUGGCUUUAACAUAAUUUGGCUAUAAACUAUAAUAAAAAAUUGCAACAAAAGAAUAUUGAUAGAGAAUAUGGAAAAAAGUUAAGAAGAUCUUAUAUAAAUUACCUAAUGAAUCUUGUUAUAUUUACUAGUUGGAAGCAACAACCAGCUAUAGAUAAUUAUACCAUGAAAAAUUGCAAAAUUAAUAGGAUACCAAAGAAACUAAAAUUGUGACAUCAACAAAAAAAAAGGAAUGAAAGAAAAGAACGCAAAUUACUUUGGGACAAGGACUAAUUGGGCAAAAAACAAGAUAACUUGAGAAAAUGAUAUUUGAAAAAGAGAAGAACACAGAAUGUGUCACACAAAAUUUCUGAAGGAAAGGGAGAGGGACUUCGUUUGUAUGAAAGGAAAAUCAAAGGGGAGGGACUUUGUUAAUAAGGAUAAACCCUCGAGUCCUCUUGAUGCUUUCUAUAGUCUGUUUCUAGGCCAUGUGCUUCUCCUGGUGCACAAGGCCUGAUUGUGCUUCUCUCUCCAUUCUCCCAAUGUCAUUCAUGUUAUCUCAUUUAAUACUGCGACGCCCCACUUUCCAGGGGUGUCACUCAUUAUAGAAUUACUCUAGUCCAAGCUCAUUUAAUCCCAUUAAUCUCCUGAACCUAGCCACCACUCAAAUUAUGGAUUAAGAGAUUUAGCCCCAUUAUACUAUAUAUAUUGGACUGUUCUAAAAUGAGCCACCCUCUUUCAUGAAGAACCUAAGAUCAUCAGGAUUUCUUGAAGAAAAUAUCAAAUCCCUGUGACCAACCUACGAUCAUUACAGAUCCGCUGCAUUCCAAGCAUUAUUUUCUUGGGUAAUAGAAGGAGAAGAAGAGGGACUGCAUAACUGGACCAAGAACCAGAUCUAGAACCCUAAUUAGUCUUCGGAUCAACUAACCUCAAGUCUAUCCACAAAAUUAAUAGGUCCAAAAAAUAAACACUAUAUAAAGGUGGAAUUACAAAGAAUUACACAGAUAAACUAGUUUAUUCGCACAUCAUAUACGACUAUAGUGAAGAAACAACUAAAAUAAACACAAAUUUGCAACUGAUAUGAAAGGAAGAUAACAGCAAUAAGAUUCGAGCAUAUGAACUAAAGUAUUCUCAGUGCAUCGAAGAACCUGAGAUUAUCAGCAUGCCAUGAAUAAAUGAUUAUAACUCUGUAAAGAGCCUAAGAACUUCCUAGAUCCGCGGCAGGGAAACAACAAUAAACAUGCAAUCGGAUCAACAACCACAUUAGGAACCCUAAUUAGGGUACGAAUCAACUUACCACGAGUCGAUCCACACGAUCGGUGAACUCCUCAAGGAAGAAGGCCUCGAUCGCCCUCCACCAUCGGCGUGGCUGCGAGGAUUUCUCGGACGAAACCAUAAAUCACGAGCUAGGGUUUGACGUUGCAUCUUCAUCAAGGGAUUUGGGGAGGAUGAGAAGAGAGUGGAGCCGAGGAGGAUGAGAUCGGUGACGCUCCGAGCUAGGGUUUGGUGAGGCAUCUAAUCUACGAGGAAUGGAUUUGGGGAGGAGGAGAAAGGGGAGAGGAGACGAAGGGUUCGAUGAGGAGAGCUCCGAUUCGAAAUAGAAAGAUGGCGGGAAUUGAAAUUCGUCCGGGCCGAGGUAUUUAUAGACGCUGUUCGUGGGUUGAGAAGCGCUACGUUUGAAUUUGGUUUUCUCACGAAUAACACGUGCGUCGCACGUGCAACGUUCUUUGUAUGCACGGGUGGCAAACCGAGCUGUUCGCGAGCUGGCUCGUGUUCGGUUCGAAAUUAGCUCGAGAUCAAAUCGCUCAUUUAGUAAACGAGUUGAGUACGAGUUGGGAUUAAUUUGCUCAUGUUCGACUCGAUAACAACUCGAAUACAUAUAUUUUAUAUUUAUAUAUAUAAAUAAAUAAUUAUAUAUGUAUAUAAUAUAAAUUUUUAUUAUUUGAUUUUUAGUCCAACAUAAAUAUAAAAUCAAAUUCAAUUAUAAAAUGGUUUAUUUAUAUGUAAAAUUUCAACCAUUACAUUAAAAUAUAACGGAUAAGAUCUUAUAAAUUUAUUUUCUGUAUAUAUAUUUUUUAAUAUUUUUAAAUUUUUAUUCAUAAGCCAGCUCGUAUUCGACUUGAUACUUUUACGAGCUGACCCUAGCUCGCUUGUGUUUGGUUCAUUAACACCCCUAAUUAUAUGGUAUAUUUACCUUCCCACAUUAAUUAUGAAACUUGUAAUAUUGUUAUUUUUUUUUCUAUUGAAAUUAGAUCAAUGGCUAAGUGGUUUCUGGGUUUUUUACCGCACAACUUAUUUCUUUUUGUUUAAAAAAUAAGUCAUGUAACAUUUUUUGUAAUUUAAAAAGAUAGAAAAGUAUAAAAUUUAUGUGAACUAAAGAUUAUUUUGAUUUGACUGUCUAAUUUUUCAGAAUUUUGAUUUUAUCAACCAAUCUUUCAAUUUAUUUGCUUUGAGUCAAUCAACGGCAGUUUAACUUUAAAAUUUGAAUGUGUCGAUUAUCUUUACAUAUUUAAUUUUUGUACUUCAUGUAAUUUUCGUAAUUAUAAAUUUAUUAAAAUAAGCAAUUAGCUUAAUUUUUUUAAAUUAAAGUGAUGCUUACUGAUUUAAAUUAAAUAAAUUAAAAUAUUAGAUAGUAAAAUUAAAAUUUUGAAAAAUUAGAUAGUCGAUUCAAAAUGGUUCAUAGUUCAGAAAAAUUUUGUACAUUUUUACCAUUGAAAAUUGAUUUAAAGAUUGGACCAAGUUGGGCUAUUUCAUACAUAAUUUUUAAGACUAAGCCCAGUCCCAAUAGACUUGACCAAGUUGGGUCGCGCUGAACAAAUUCGGGCCGGAAACGGGCCCAAUUUAUUGGUUCGGAUCGGACGGCUAAGGUUGAUUUUGAGCAGGCCCAGCUACAAAGAGGUCUCCUACACCUAAACUCUUCUAUUAGGAUUCUAUCUCUAUAGUCAAUAGUUAUAUAUACUGCUACUCUUUCUUAAUUUUAAUGAAAUUAAUCAACGAUAAUAUUUCUUAAAUGAUGGGUUAACUAGUAAAAAAAGUAAAACACCACAAAUGCCCUGCUAUUAUUUUCUAUAAUUAAAUAUGAACAAGGCUAAGGCUACUAUACAAUAAAUAGCAUCAAGUCAUUGGUGUUAUUAGGUUUUCGACUAUUAGAUAAAGAAAUGUGCUGUUAGGAUUGUAAUGAUUCUCUUCGAUUGGGUAAGUUUAACGGUAAAAAACUUAGUAGCACCAAAUGCUUGUUGCUAUUUUUUUCUUUUUUUUGAGAGAUAGCACGCUACCGACUUCGUUUAUUUCAUUUAAAAAUAAAUUUAACUGGAAAUGUGAAUAAACUAGAAUUCGAACUUGGGUCUUGGAUACCAACCACCAAACUCUUUGACACUUGCUCUGGGGACGGUCGGUUUGUUGCUAUUGACAGUAUAGUAGUCGGAUUCUAAAUAUUAUUCCUCGCAAACUUUAAAUUAUUAAAAUAUAAAAUUCGACUAUCAAAGUUACAUAAGUACAUAACUAGCUAGUGUACAAACAAACGGUGCGAACGGACGGAGAGAGAAAUAAAAGAGUGAAAAACCAGCCACAUGGCUAGGGACAAAAAGAAUACCAUCCCUUAAUUCUAACUAAUAAAAUAAAAUAAAAAAUAAUUUUUUUUUUUUUUUUAUAUAAAUCUCUCACACUUGGGCCCCUACCACAUGCCCCUGGUGCCUCUCCUGAACCCACCCACGUUAGUUACGAUAUGCAUGCACGAACGCAAUCAUCUCUCUCUCUCUCUCUCUAGAGGUGAUCUCUCUUUCAUAUCAACUUAAUAAUGGACAAAAAGGAUGAGAUAAAAGGGAUUUGGUGCCCCCUCCCCACGAGGGGGUCCUCCUUUUUUGUGGUUUAAGUAAAGCAUAAUAGCUUACAUGGUAAGCAGAAGCAUCAUGAAACAUGUCAUGUGCUUCUCAUACAUAAGACCCACAGACACAAUCAAACCAUGUGCUCUCUCUCUCUCUCUCUCUCUAUCUAUCUCACUGUGUCUUCCAAAUCUACAGCUUGCACAUCUUGCUUUAUCCUGUUAUUAUUUGUUUGUUUCGUUCAAGGACUCGAGCCCACUCAGAUCAAUCCAAAAGUUUACGGUCCUGUUUAUUUCGUAUGAGAAUUUUCUAGUAUAAUUAUUGAUAACCUGAUUGAUUUUCACUUCUUCAGAAAUAUUUCUAUUCAUAAUUUGAUAUCUAUUUAUAUCUAUAUAUUAUUUUCAUAUACAAUUUGUCACGCGACAAUUCCUCCUUCACUCUCAUUCCCACUUCUUAAUGCUUCAUCUUUCCAUCCCCUACCUCCGCCCGAUGCUUCGUUUUCAUAUUCGCCCAAACUUCUAAUUAAUAUAUUAAUAUGAUCCAUUCUCAUCUAAACAAAUCACUUUUACAAAAAAAAUAGCAAAAUAAGAAUAUUUUCAUACUCUUUUUUCUCACUUUUUUGUUUUCCUUUUUUCUUGACCGUGACCUAGGAGAAGCUCGACGCCGACAAUAGCGGUGGGGGCAAUAUGGAGAACAGGAUUCGCCUCUCCGAUUUCGGCAGCGCUAUCAAGGUGCGUAUGGAGUAAUAACUCUAUUACUGUUUUUUUCAUUAUUAUUAUUAUUAUGUGUAAUUUAUUUACUGAAAUUGUAAAUUUUGCUACAUUUGUACAUAUUUGUUUCAUAUUUUAUAUUUGUAUUUAUUGGCGUCUUAUGGUAAGUGAAAAAAUUUUAAAAUUUUUAUUUUGUCAGUCUUAUGUUUUCCAUAGUAUCAGGCCGUCCGUCGCAAUGUGUCGGUAACUUCACUAGCGAUAACAUAUUUCACUUAUGUACCUAGCUAGUUAAUUAUUACGAUAUGAGAAGUAUUAUGUUAGGACAUAAAGAAAUCGCAGAAUAUAUAAAAACAAAUUCUCAGUUCCGAUGAGAGAGGUGGGAUUAAGAUUAAAAAAUUAUAAUUAAUUAAUUAAAACGUUGUAGUUUACCUCAGGGAUUGCGUAAUACAUAGUUCUUAAUUUUUUUAAAAGGUUAAUUAAAUUAAUAAGGACAUGUAUAGUUCAUGCAUCCAUUUCACCCUAUAUUUAUUCACAUGUGUAAUUAAUUAACCAAGUGCUAUGCACGUCUCAAUACAAAAGCAAACUACACAACAAUUAAACGCCCUAAAUUGGCCCUAAUCACUACAUACAAUGAAUGUAAUUAGCUACAAAAUUUCCUCCAAAUCAUGUGAUUAAUAAACUUAAUUAAUGCGUAGCGAAUAUAUGAACUCUUGUACAUAAGCGUAGUUCCUGGGGAGGCCACAUGCUUCUAAUCAUCUAAUAGUGUCGUUUAGUUGCUGGUAGAGGGAUUGUAUUCAAAUAUUCUUAAUUAUUACUCUUUUUAUUAUUCUACAUGGAAAAUGAUAGGAUCUAAUUCUUAAUUAACACGUCUCUAUUGUGUAUGUUUCUCAUGUGGUAUGGUGUUGGAGACAAUGACGUAUCUGAGCAAAGGAAAAAUGUUGCGUCUACUCGGUGUAUAAUUAUAUUUUUAUACAUUACAAAAUUUAAUAUCAUGAAUAUAAUCUACAGGAUCUAAAGAGCCAAUAUAUAGUGAAAAAUCAUUAGUUUAUACAAUAUGUCACCUAGGCAUUAAGUAGUCAUUAAAAUAAUAAAAUCAACAGUAUAUGCAAUAAUAUAAAUUUUGAUAUAUAACUAUAUAAGGCUCUUAAAUGUUUCCACAUAUAUAUAUAUAUAUAUAUAUAUANAAAGCAUAAGAGCCCAAUUAUAUAUAUAUAUAUAUAUAUAUAUAUAUAUAUAUAUAUAUAUAUAUAUAUAUAUAUAUAUAUAUGGUGUGGUGUACGGGAUACAGAUAAUACACUCGGUGUAGAAAAUAGUUUCUCGUGAACCAUCGGGGCCUAAUCGCGGCCCCCUCAUCACCGUUAAUAGCACAUGGGCAGUCAACGUACGGAGGGUGAUGGUUCAACAAAUAAAGCGCACCGCGCUUCUCCAAAAAAUUACGCACUUUUUAUAAUUAAAAUUUUAGAAAAAGAUUAAUUUCACUUCAAUUCAAAACCAAUUUUUCAUUUUCGUUUUGAAUCUUUAAUUUUAUAUGAUCAUUUUUUGAAAAAUUGAAUUAUUAUGUUUAGUUUUAUCAUCAAAAAUCAUGUUAUUAAAUCAAAGAAUAUGACUCAUAUGCCAUUUAGCCUUAGCAAAUUACGUGCUUUUGUCGGAUUUAUACGAAACAACUGAUUUCUUCAAAAGCUCGCAUCUGAACUCUAUAAUACUAUUUUAUAUAAAGUGAAAUAGUAAUUUAUCUCAAAGUUUAAGUUUUAAGAGAAUGACACUACCUACUCGAGCUAAGUUGUAAAAAAUAUGCGAAGUACUUACUAAUUUAAAGAGGUGAAUCAUCAUAGGAGGAUGCAAAUAGGAUCCGAGAACAAUGAGUUACUACUUUAAGCUUCAGGGUUUUGCAAGUGAUGAGUGGGUACAUUUUAUAUGUCUGGUAUGGGAAUAAAUCAGAGAAAACAAAAUUUAUCCCCACUAUACCACCAAAUGUCGUCGGAAUGAUUAUUCUGGUCAAACUGGAUUAUUCUAGACAAUUCUAGAAUAAUCUGAGAAUAACUACUCCACUUUUUUAGUGGUAUAAGGCUAUUCUCAUACUUAUAUCUAACUAAUUAAAAAAUAAAAAGAUAUAAUCCUGCUUAUAUUUAGCUAAAUAAAAUAAAAAUAAAAAUAAAAAUAAAUAAUAAUAAUAAUUUUUUAAUUUUUGAUUUUUUUAAAAAAAUAAUAACAGUAAUAGUAGUAUUUAUUAUUGUUACUGUUAUUAGUAACAGAAGUACUAUAUACUAUUAUUAUAAAUAAAACAGCAUGUAUUAUAACAUAUAACUAGAUUUUCACCCGUACGAUGCACGACUAAUAUAAUAAUAUAGAAUAAUAAAAAUUAUUAUUUGAUGAUAACAAAAAAAAUUUCUAAUUAAUUUUAUUUUUUUUAACAAAUAAAAAAAUAUACUAUCAAUCUUAAUUAUAGUACAUAUUAAAAUACACAAGCUAGAGAAAAAAAAAAUUGGACCAAAGUAAAUAUUCAACUAAAAUGCAAAAUUCAAUCAUGCUCUAUUAUCUAUGAAUUGGUGUGCAAAAUAAUUUACAUUUACAUAUUGAUGUGCGAAAUAAAAUAAUAACUAAAAUUAAUAUGAAAAAUUACAAAUGACAUUAAUAUUUAAGCAUAUAAUGAGAUCAUCUAAACUUUCAUAUUUGACACAAAUUAAAGUAAGCACACAUAUAUUAUAUUCCUACUGUCAUUUUUAAGAUUUAAAAAUAUAUAGAUAUUGGUUUUCAAGAAAAUAUAAAAAAAAAAAUUUGUUGCAUGAAGAUGAAAAGUUACAGGAGUGACAGUAGGAAAAAAAAUUACGAAAUAAAAAUUACAGAAGUGAUAGUAGGGAAAUAAUAUGUUCUAUUUUAAAACAUCAAUAUUUAAGAGCGAAGAAAAUUACAGGAGUGAUGUGAAUUUUAAAUUUUUUCCUCUUUCCAAAAAUGCCUCUAUCUUUUUUUACUAAUAUUUUUAUGUCCAAAAAUUUUCAACCAAUCAUUUCAAAUAAUUAACUAAGUAAUAAUUUAUUCCCAAAUAAAGAUAAAUAUUUUCUUUCUCACGCGUAAUAUCCGCACCGCCAAUUUUUUCGCAACAUAAUAUCCGUAAAUUUCUCAAAUACCUCAACAUAAUUAUAAAUGACUUUGAAAUAUAACUAAGUAAUAAUUUAUUCUCAAAUAAAGAUAAAUAUUUUUCUUCUCAUGCGUAAUAUCUGCACCGGCCAAUUUUUUUGCCACAUAAUAUCCGUGAAUUUUAUAUUCCUUAAAAUAGAAAAUUUAUAUUUGAGCUUGACAUGUAGAUUUUUUAUAUAGUAAAAGAUAUUAAUUUCUUAAAAAAUUUAUUUUUUUUUCUAAAUAAAAAAUCUAUAUUUGAGCUUGACACGUGGCAAACAUAUAGAGCGCCACGUGUCAGCUUCUCACAUAGGGUUCAUUAAGGGUUCUACUUUUAUAUAUAGUAAUAGAUAUAUUAAAAUAUAUUAUGACUUCGUUUGGAAUUGUGGGGAGAUUGCGUUACGUGCAUGCAGUGAGAAAUGACAAUGGAAAAAUAUCUUUUUUGUUUCCGUACGUAAUAUUGCGUUCCGCAUAUUGCGGUUAGUCGGUUACGAUAUAUUUUCUACGGUCCCAUCGGAGAACAAGCAUAUCUCUAUAUGUUUUUUCUCAACUCUAUUUUAUAUAGCAUUAGAUAAAUCUCAAUACCAAACUAAGCUUAUAUUGUAUUAUUUAUAUAUAGUUUCUUCAUUAUUCUAUUUUUGAGUUAACUAUCAAACACAUUUUUAGCUAUCCUUAAGAAUAACAAAAUCUUUAACCAAACACAAUUUUGAACUUAUUCUUGUAUAUCUCAGAACAACUAGCUAUUCCAAAAAUAAAAAAAAAUAUAUAUUUCUAAGAAUGUAAACCCCCAACCAAACAUAUACAUAGUACUAUUUGUUACCAUGAUUCAUUGGCAAAUAAUGAAGGAAAAAAUUGCCUUGCAACACACAUGCAUUGCCGCAACUGAAACUGUGGGCUUAUUAAUUAAGGUCAUGGUACACCUCUUGCAACUUGCAAAUAUAGCCUAGCAAUAUUAAUUAAUAUUUCGACAUUGAUAUCCAUUCAUUGUACUAUCCCAAGAUUCAUGAAUUAAUGAGAUCUAUCCCCAUUGUCCUCCCCCUAAUCCCUCUCUAAGGCCCUAACUACUAGCUAGACAUCAAUUAGCCACUAUCUUUUGACCUGCAUAAACACAUGCCAAAGUCCGCUAGUAUCUGAAUUCAGGAUCUACCGCUCUGAUAUUUGUGACGUAAUUAUUAUUUUUCUAGUUACUUUAUAAGUUAGCAGAGAAUAACAUUUCAAAGAAAAUACAGAGUUAGCUCACCUGAGUUCAAAACUCACCUUGAUAUACUUUGAAAACAUAGAAAAUAUAUACAUCAUGUUCAUUUGUUUGUCUUUAAAUUAAUAAAUCAUCAUGUUGUGUGAUCAAGCCAAUUCAGUAUUCAAAAAGGAGAAUAAGGUGAGAAGAGACCCUGCACAGAUACAACUUUGUGGAGCAAGUGGAAUGAGGUACUACAUAUAUAUAGAACGAGGAUACUAUACUAUCUAUAGUACCAGAGCUCCGAUACUAUAGUCUCAUUUUCAAUAUUAAGGUAUUCAAAUCAACGAUCCACGUUAUUAAAUAUGAUUUUGGAUAUAUAAAAUUCUUAGGAUUAAAAUUUAAAUUUUUUUUGACAUUGUUUACUUAGUAAGUAAAUUAUAUCAAAAUAAACGGUAGAAAUUGAACAAAUUUUAAAAUUUGAGGAAAGAACUUUUUUAUUUUUAAGAUCAAGGAUAUUGAUCUUGAUCUAGAUAAUUUAAAAUAUUUUCUGUCAAGAUUUGAAUAAAUUUAGAUUCUUUUACACCGUUAAACUAUAAACUCGUCAUACUAAUCAUUAAAAAUUAAUAAUUUGAAAAUAAUUUUGAUCAUAAAAUAAAUUAUAUAAAAAAAUAUAUAAAAUUUCAUUUCUAAAAACUUUAAAUACUCUAAACCAGUUUUAACGGCAUCGACCGUUGAUUUGAAUAUUCUAAAGUUGAAAAUAAGACUAUAGUACUAGAGCCCUGAUACUAUAGAUAGUAUAAGAGCUUAGCUCUUUCUAUAUAGAGAGAGAGAGAGAGCUAGGCUGCUAUUUUAUCGAUAGCACGUAGGCCUCUAUAUAUACUACUAAGUUAUUUUGAGUGAUAUAGCUUUCAAAUCAACGAUCAACUCUAUUAGAGUUGAUAUGUACUAUUGAAAGUAUUUGGAAACUAAAUUUCAUAAUUUUUCGACAUUAUUUGGCUAGUGAUCAAAAAGUCUCAAAAUUGACAAUGUUAAUGAUCAAUAUGAUUCGUUUGUAAAUUUUACGGUGUAAAAUAAUUUAAAUCUGAUGAAAUUUUUAUAAAAAUUUUAUUUUUCACUAUUUAGAGUAAGAUCAGUACCUCUGAUCUUAAAUUCAAAUCUUUUAUCAUCAUUUUUAUGAAAUUUUUAUUUUCAGUCGUUUAUUUUUAAACUACUCAUUUCAUAGGUAAAUAAUGUCGAAAAAUUAUGAAAUUUAGUUUUUAAAUAUUUUCAAUAAUGUAAAUCAAGUCUAAUAGAACCCAUCGUCGAUUUGGAAGUGUAUCAUUAGAAACAAUUUGCCAGCAUGAAGAACUCCAUGAUACCGAUAGUAUAGUAGUCAGAAUAUAUAUAUGUAUAUAUAUAUAUAUGUAUAUAUAUAUAUAGAGAGAGAGAGAGAGAGUCCGGCUACUAUACUAUCGGUAGUACCAAGCUCUUGCUACUAUCGAGUUUUCUGCCAUUAGAUCUACCCUUUGAUUAUUUCCACUCAGUAAAUUAUACUAUUUAACCAACCACCUACUCAACCCUAAGGAACUACAAUCAUUCUAAUCGGGAACCACUAUUAUUCUAAACGGACAUCUUUUCAUCCAACGGCCGAAAACUUAGUAGCACCAAAUACUUGAUACUAUCGAUAAUAUAGUAGCAUAAUUAUAUAUAGAGAGAGAGAGACACACACACAACCUUCAAAACUACUAAGACAGCGGAAAUAAAUGCGUGCAAGUUGGUGAUGAGAAAUGGCUCUCUCUCAGAUCAGAGGCGGUUUUCGAAGUAACGUUUACGUAUUUGAUACAUACAUUUGUGGCAUUGUAUAGUUUAAGAAGAAUGCUGCAUCCUGUACCCUGAUACUCUGUUAUCUAGCUGGUUGACAAAGAUAUCUGCAAAUAAUGCAGGUUUGGCUCACUACAGUGUCACUUUCCUGUAGAGAUAUCUAUGCAUAUAUAUUACUUAUAAAAUUAAGUUACAAACUUCUCUAAACAUAUAGAAUAAUAAUUCAAAUUUCCCAACUGCUAUCCAAAUUUUCUAUGCAUGGGUGAUCACUGACAUAGUAGAAUCACUUCGCAUAAACUAGAAUUAAUUCAAUUUUGAUUGGUAGCAUGCACCAUUGAGGAAUGUAGAUUAAUAUAUGGCUAAAUUACAUAAAAUUUUUCUGUCAAAAUUCGAUUUUUCAUUUUUUUCCCGUCAUUUAAAAACCUACACUCUGCCUCCUUAUAAGAUAAAAAAUGUUCACUCCGCCUCCUGCCUUUAGUAAUCCGUUAGGGUUCUGUUUAUAAAAUAUUAUUAUAUAUAUUUUUAUAUCAAAAAUGUCUCAGCUUUCUCUCCUGUGAACAUGAUAAGGAGCAAAAUGGUGAAGGGCAAAAUAAUCAUUUUAUCAUUAUAGUUCACACCGUACUCCCCUGUGAACAUUUUUUAUUUUACAAAAGGGCAAAGUGUAGGUUUUUAAAUGACAAGGAGGAAAAGUGAAAAAUCAAAUUUUGACAUGAAGGUUUUCUAUAAUUUAGCCAUUACUUGUAUAAACUUGGUGAAUUAAUGUACCAUAGAUUGGAUCCAUUGAUAAAUGCAUAUGUUAUAUUUAGGGAUAAGUGGUAAUUAAUGAUUCCCACUUCCGUGGAUAUAUUUAACACUCUUCUUUCGUUCUAGAGCAAUUAUACUUAUUACAAGAAAAGCCCAAGCGCACUCUCGUUUAUUCUAGCGUAAAUUAAACAGUGCACAGUACUAUAAAACAAUAUAUGAAUAAAUAUAUGGAGCCAAUACAUCAUUUUUUUUUUAAAUGAGCUCAGUUAAAAAUGCAUAGUUACUAAUCUCCAACUUGAAAUCUUGAGUACCAACUAUCUAGUUCUUAACUAACCGUUUUAAGUUUAGUCAAUCUCAAAAGCCAAAAAAAUUUCUAUCUAUUACAUUAAAACUCUAUUAAAAUAUUUUAGGAAAAGAUCAUUAUUGCAUUUUCAAGAACCUGACGAGCAUUAAUAUGCAUCUAGAAGUUCUAAUUGAGUCAAACCAAGGUGGGACAAUAGUUUUAAAUUUUCGAAAAACUCCUUUAUCAAUCAUUUCAUCGAGGUUAGAAAAAAUAUAGAUAUUUUGACAUUUCUAACCAUUACACAUAUUUAUCAACAGAAUUAUUGCCUUGUCUAGUCUCCUUAAGAGGAAAAAAAAUUUCCUAUCUAGCCAUCUUUUAAAAAUAUUUUUAAUUUAGUCAUUUUAUAGAUUAAAAAAGUAAGUUAAUAAUUUUUAUAUAGAUUAAUAUGUUAAGUGGAUGGGAGAUUAAUAACUUUUAUAAAUUAAACAGAAAGAAUUAAGAAUGGUUUAAAUUAAGUAAAUAUAAUAUAAUUUUAUGUAUGAACACUUAAUAUUUUUGUAUGAUUGUAUUUUUCAUUUUUGUUGUCUACUGAACACUUAGUCUUUGUGUGCUAAUUAGCUUAUUAUUUGUACUAUCCAAUUUAGUUAUUUUAAUUUAUAUGAAGAAAUUAUUUAAUAAUAAUAUGAUAUAUGAUUAUAUUGUCAUUAUUAUUAUUGUUAAUUAUUAACAAUAACUAUUUGAUUAAUAUUGACUUGUAUAAUCAAAUUAAAUACUGAUAAUAAUAAUUUUCCACCCACUUAACAUAUUAAUCUAUAUAAAAAUUAUUAACUAUCUCUUUUUUCUUAAUCUAUAAAAUAAGAUUAGAUUAAAAAUAUCUUUCAAAAGAAGGCUAGAUACGAAAUUUUUUUCGCUAAGGAGGCUAAGCCGCUAAGUAAGGUAAUAAUUAUAUAAAUUUGUCAAUAUAUCAGUGCAAUGGAUCUACGGCGCAAACAAAUUUUAAAAUCAAAACAAAGAUUAGGAAAAAAGAAAAAAAAAAAAAAGAAGAAUUACUGGAGAAAAUUUCAGAGAAAAGUACUUCUUUACAUUCAAAUGUACAAGACGAGUACAUCAAAAUUAUUCACCCCACCUACAUUAAAAUUAGAAAAUACUAAAUAGUAAUAAUAAUAAUUAAGGAAAAAGCUUAUAAUGAGAACACAAUUAGGGGUUAAUAAAUUCUCGAUCGACUCUUCUUUUUUUCUUUUUCUUUUUUUUUUAAUUUUUUUUGGUUUUUCCGCAACCCCAUAUGUAGUAGUUCCGAGAAUGUACAUCGUACGUCGUCGACCCACAGUGCGGUCGUCGUGCUUUGAGAUUAACGCUCGAAGUGAUUGAUGAUCAGCAGGCGUAGAAGUCGACGAGCUCGUCGAGCGAGUCCGGGGCUGGAUCGGCGUUCUCGAGCAUCCAGAGGAGGUGCUCGAAGAGGACGACCUCGCAGCCGACGACCAAGCCGUCGCCGGAGACGUCGCCGGAGACGGAGGAGCGGGCGAGGAGGUGGCGGAAGAGCGGGUGGGAGACGAGGUCGGAGGAGAGGAGGUAGCGGCGGCGGGACUUGCCGACGAAGACGGGGUGGAGGCCGGAGGGGACGGGGAGGCGAUCCUCGUCGUCGGAUCUAGGGUUUAGCCACGCCUCGUCCUCGUGGUGGUGGCAUCUCGCGGAGGCGGAGGCGGAGGCGGCGGCGGCGGCGGUUCCGCCGGAGACGGAGCGGGAGACGGCGCGCACCGGGGUGGAGUUCCACCGCUUCAGCGCCCCCUUUAGCUUGCUCAGCUUCGAGCUCCGCGCCAUGGAUGCCUUAGAGAGAGAGAGAGAGAGAAGGGUUUAGAGAGAGAAGGAGAGAGAGAGAGAAAGAAGGGGUGUGAGUGACGAGGGAGAGAAAGGGGGGAGAAGCUUCGCGUAUUUAAAGAAAAACGGUGGGGCCCAGUGGAAGGGCAGGGGCGCGACGGGGCUGUAGAAAACGGGCCCCGGAUGUCGUGGAUAAUUACAGGAGUGCCAGUGGCGGUUUGUUUUUAUCAUAUAUUCAUGUAUAUAAUAAUAUAUACUAGUUUACCGUCUCGGGCACGAUGCGACGAAUAAAUAAUUUAAAAAUUAAAAAAUAUUAAAAAUAGCGAUGAGAAAAAAUAAUGAUAAGAGAUGAGAUAUAUCUUACUGACGAAUAAAAAUAACAACUGAAAGAAAAGGAAGGACUUGAACUGAUUCGGAGUGAAGUCCACACUCAAUAAUAACAAAAAAAGUUGUCACACGACAAUUUUAGGAGAAAUAAUAUACAACCAUAAAUAUAUUAGUAAAGUAAGGUUUACUGUAUAAUAAUAACAUAAUGUCAUUUAUAUUUAGUAUAAUAUAUAUUUUAGCUUAAUAAAAACGAACAAUAAAAAUAUUUUUUUUAAAAAAUAUUAUGGAAUUGAAGGCUCAGGAGUGGAUGUAACAAUCACAUUCUAGACUUUUUCGAGCAAUAAUAGUCCAUGUCAGUAUACCGACCGUCCCUAGAGUAAGUGGUAAAAGGCUUGGUGGUUGGUACCAGAGACCCAAAUUCGUAUCCUAAUUGAUUCACAUUUUCAGCUAAGUUUAUUUCUAAAUAAAAUAAACGAAGCGGGUAGCAUACUAUCUAUCUCUCUCAAAAAAAUAGUCCAUGUCAGUAUAAUAGUGGAAUAUUCUAAGUGUAUGUGAAAAAUGACUAAAUAAUUAGUAUUCAAAAUUUUAUGUUCAAUUUCUAUUUAUUUUAUAUUUAUAACUGAGUUUAUUAUUAAAAAAAAAAUGAAGUAGAUAGUAUGCCAUUUUUUUUCUAACAAAACAAUAGUAUAAGUAUAUAAGAAGCAAAAAUCUAUUAUUCAGUAAAAUCAUGGAUUUCACAAUUUCUCAGAGUAAACAUAAAAAUUAUUUACAUUCAAUCGUAAAAAAAUAUUUCAGACAAUUUAUUCAGAGUACAUCUAAGUAGGGUCUAAUAAUUAUGAUACAAAAAUGAGCAACUACUGUUUAGAAUAGUUAAUUGCCUAUUUUGGAGGCCAGGGCAUUAAAAAUCCUGUAUUUUUUUAGGUAUAGGAUGUGGAAAGUGUUGGAAUGAGAAAUUUGCAAACAAUUUUAGAGAAAGGUUUUAAAAAAAAAAAACUUGCUAUGCCAUGUUUGAAAAAUACAGUAAACGACCAUCCCUAACAAAAGUGGUAAAAACUCGAUGAUUAGUAUUUGAGUUGUCAAUUUUGAUGUUAAUUACUUAACAUUUGGAGCUAAAUUUAUUUCUAUAACAUUAAUAUCUUUCUCUCAGAAAAAAAAAAAAAAAAAAAACUAUCCAUACAGAAGGUUAGUAAGUUACAAUGAAAGGUGGAAAUAAAAAAUGCGAAAAAUUAACUAAACUUUUCAGAUUUUGUACUCCAAUUGAAAUUGGGAUAAAUCUUUUAUAUUCACUCUUUUACUUUUCUUUUCUUUUUUUUUUUAACUAUAGUUUUUAAGAAGGGUAGUGCCUCUAAAUGAAAUGAAACUGGGCAAAUAUAAAAUUGUGAAGCCCCAUGAUUUCAUGCUCAUAAUAAUGAUAAUAAAUAUACAUGGCCAAAGCUGUUGCAGAGUACAAAACUAACUUUGAAAUGACAAGGUCAUUCCCCCAUGAUUUUGUUGUAGGCUAUAUAUGAUAAUAUUAAUGACUCUAAAUAUUAAAAUAUUUUAUGGUAUUUAUUGGAGCAGUUAUUGUAAGUCUUUUUUUGGUGCAUUAUUUUUGUUUACUAGUACAAGACCUGCGCUUUGCGAUGGAUAAAUAGUAUUUCAGUCAACUUAAAUAUUUUAAUUUUUAUAAAUUUUAAUAUAUAUUAUAAAAAUUCAAAACCCUCAAUAUAAAAAUUUAAAACAGUCAAUAUAAAAUCCUCAAUAUAAAAAUUUAAAUUUUGAUAUUUUUAAUACACAAAUUUUCGAUAUAACAUAGAUCACAUUUAUUUAAUUAUAUUAUGAUCUUAUAAUAUGAAUUAUUAAAAAUUGCAGUAGGUGCGUGUAAUAUUUAUAGGCUUAGUACAGGCAAUUUUUAUACCUGAGAAGUGGGUUUUGAGAAGUGGGUUGUAUACAUAUAUCUUAUAUAGACCACUGGUAAAUUUUUUUAUUGAAAUUUAAAAUUUGUAAUAUAUACAGGCUUUUUAUAUGAUGUAGAUCAUAACUAUUACACUAUAAUUUAAUUUUAAAAUUUAAUAAUUAAAAUUAUGUUUAGUGGAUGUUAUAUUUUAAUAAACCGGGUGCAUGCAAAAGUUGAAGUGAAAGAAUUGAAGGGGACAUGUUACAUGUAUCGCUUUCUAAUUGCUAACAUGAGCCAACUCUCAAUAGUGAAAAAAAGCAUAGAGAGAGAAACAAAUUUCGUUGCACCUAGUGUAUAUUAAAACUCCAUGCGCUAUACAGUAUAUGAUGACUAUUAAAAUAUUUGAUAAUAAAUACCGCAAAAUAAUGUAUAAUAUAUAAUAUGUAUAAUAUAAGAUAUUUAAAUAAUUUACUAUAUUACGAAAAAUUAUUUUUUAUAUAUUUUUUAGAGUUGAUUUACGGUGCACCGGCCGCGUCCCAAUAUUUUCUUGGGAAAACUUCAAAUACCCUCUUUUGGUUUCACUUUUUCUCACUUUAGUAUUAUGUGGUUUAAAGUGUAUCAAGUUAGUACCCUGUGGUUUUGCAUUUUUUUCACGUUAGUACCCUGUGGUUUAAAGUGUAUCAAGUUAGUAUCAUGUGAUUUCGCACUUUCUCACUUUAGUAUUCUGUGGUUUCACACUUUCUCACUUUAGUACCCUGUGGUUUAAAAACUACAUGGUACUAACUUGAUACAAAAAUAAAACCACAAGGUACUAACUUGAUACAAAAAUAAAACCACAGAGUACUAGCUUGAUACACUUUAAACCACAGGGUAUUAAAGUGAGAAACUGUGAAACCACAGGGUACUAACUUGAUACAUUUUAAAGUACAAAGUAUUAAAAUGAAAAAGUGCGAAACCACAUGAGGGGUUUUUGAAAUUUUUCCUUUUUUUUUUUUUUUUUUUUUUAGACAUUGGUAGCAUGCUACUAUUGGCUCCUCCCUUGAACUGUGAAGUGGCUUAAUGUCCAGGCAUUUUUUUGAUGUAAUAGAAGUAGCAAAUUAUGUAUUCUAUUUUUAAGAAAUGUCAUGUCCACUUCAAGUAAAAGAUAUGGGCCAUAUUUGGAGAUGUUGUAGCACUUGGUUAUCUCUGUUUGUUAAAAGUUGUUAAGUUAAAUAGUUAAAAAAAAAAAGGGUAAUAUAUUAAUAUGCCAUAAGUUAUGUUCAUGUGAAAACAAGAGGAAAAAGGGUUAGAUUUUUUUUUUUUUUUUUGGUACAAAACAACAAUUUCUUAGUUGAUAUGUUUCACCAAUUAGGAAAGACAAGUAGAAAUGAGCUGAAUAAAGGAGGCACAUGGCUCCCUGUCCCAAUUAAUUUAAGCAACAAACUUGGGUUCAAGUACAGUUGAAGGUAAAUUUCAAUUGGUUCCUGUGUAACUUGCCCUGUAAUUUAUACUACACUACAUAUCAUGUGGCCUAUAGAAUAUAAAUUUUGUUAUCUUACUCAAUGAUAUAAAUUAUUUGGACAUACUUGUUUUGCUGAAUACAGAGAACGACAAAGUUAUUUUUUGCUGUAAAUACUGCAAAUACUCACUUUUACUAUUAAGUACGUCGUAAAUUAUAUUCAGACAUAGUUUUACUUUUUCAAAAUUUCGUAAUUGAUUUCAUCCUAAGUAAUGCAGAAGUUAAUUACGAAAGAGAAUUAAAUAACAAAAAAAACAUAAAAAUUUUAAGUUUAUAGCUUUCUUCAUACUUUUAUCGACUAGAAUAAAUUUUUCAGAGAGAUAAGUAGAAAAAGAAUUACUAUAGUUCAAAAGUCAUUAAAUUUUUAUAAAAUAAAUAUGUGAAAUUCAGUCCAACUAAAAAGCAAUUUUCAACCUAAAAUUCAAUUACUAGCACUUUACAAUAAAACAAAAGGCAAAAGUACAAAGUGGCAAAAGUGAGACAUUUUAAACAACAUAAUUAAAUUAACUCAAAUCUUCUAGAAUGGCAUUUUUGUAGUUUUGGAGAAGACCAAGGGCUUUUACUAAGUGACCCUCAUGUACCAACCACAGGGGCCUAGGUCUCUCUAGUGAGCUAAAACAAAUAUAAUUCCUCAUUUCAACCUCAUAAAACAAACUUAAAGAGAGAGAUUAAACAAAGCUUAGUGAAAGGGAUGGACAUGUGCAUGGAAGUUAGAAGGUCUCCCAACAAUUUUUUGUUUUCUCCUCUCAAAAUUUUUUUUUUAUUUAAUCACACAAACAAGAUAAUUUUUGGUCAAAUUAGUUAACUAACAAGAGAGAUUAAUUAUUUAUUAGAGAUCAUAUUUAGUUAAAGAUUCGGCGUGUAUAUAUAUUCUGCUAUUCCUUAAAUAGAGACUAAUAUAAAUUCAUAUUGCGUAGACGUGAAAAUAAUGGCAAAAAUAUUGAUUUUAGAGAAUUACUAAUUAAUCAGCUAAUUAACAAAAGAAAAUAAAUAAGAUUACUGUAUAAAUUAUUUACGAUAACAUUUACCCAAUAUUUGAAUAAUAAUUUGGGAUAAAAAAAACACAGGUAAAGUUAAAGAAUUCUAAUUAUCUAAUAGUAACAACAACCAUGGUCUCAAUGCUUUAAAAGAUGUUACCUUAUUCAUUCCAAUUGUGAAAAUGUGUUAAUUUAUCUUUACAGCAUUAUUAAUUUCGAAGACCAUUAUAAAUAGUCAUUAAUUAACACCCAAGUCACAAAGACAAAACUAUAAUAACAAUAUUUUGUGGUAAUUUGUGCAUAUUGAUUGUGGCAAGGAAACAUUGUAUUACAUUCAUUUAAUAGCUAGCGUACGUAAAAUGUACAUGCAUAUAAUUAAAAAUGUAGCAGUUACAACUAUAUGCAUCCUACUUGGUUGGAUGCAGUAAAAAGCGCUGCAACUAUAAAUAAUAAUUUAUUUAAUUGCAUACAGUUGAGAAAUGAUUUUUAAAAAUUUAUCAUUUUAUAUAUAUAGUGGUGAUAUUACCUCAAAUGGAAAAAAUUUUGCUUAAAAAAUAAUUAAGAAGCUAAGUAUAUCUUUUGUUUAAAAUUACUCUCUCCAACGGCUGCAGUUGGAACUACGGCUAAUUUGGACGUAGUUCCAACUAUUACAGUUAGGCCUCUUUUUUGCAGUUCGUACUACAACAGUUAAAAAUAAAUAUAUCAAAUCAAACACUGAAAGCAUGUAAUUACAACUGUGCUGCAAAUAUAACUGCAUUUAACCAAACGGUUCUGAUUUUUUUGGAAAAAUAUAAAACUUUAUUUUUCUUUUUCUUUUUUUUUGUAGAAACAUACUUUUUCACAGUUUUUUAUUUUUGAAUAAAAAAUCAAAAAAUUUUGGGAACUAAACACCCCCUAGUUUGGGGGUAUUCUCUAACAAUUAAAUAACAGCACAAGUGCAUCAAAAAAAUAAAGUGCCUAAGAUUCGUCCCAACCCCCAAAAGAGCCUUUUGUUUUGGACUUGGCAUGAUAUUAUAUUAUAUUAUAGUAAGAGUGGUUGGAGCCAAAUUUGUCAAUUCAUAAAAAUGUUCCUCUUUGUCACGUAGUUGGAUUUGAUUCUUUAUGAGACAAUAUCAACAAUGCAAUCAUAGGAAAAUAGCCAGUGCCAAAUGAAAAAUAAAUAAAUAAAGGACGUGGAAGGAAAUAAAGAUAAAGAAUAUACGUACAUGAGAGAGGAACCUGUAGUAACUUUGUUAGUGGGGAGGCAAUUUCGUCUAUGAAAUUAUAAACUUAAAAUUUUAUUGGCACAGAAAUGUAGCUUUUUACAAGGUUCAGAGAUCGAUCAAUUGAAAGAGAAUUUUUAAAGAUAAACUUCAAAUAUCAUCUUUGUAAUUUCGUACUUUCUCACUUUAGCACCAUAUGAUUUAAACUUUAAAGUGUAUCAAUUUAACACCCUAUGAUUUCAAUUUUUUCUUUGCGUCAGUCCCUCUGUUAACUUUUCGUUAAAUCAUAUACAAAAAAUUUCAGAUAUCCCAUCUAUAGUUUAUCGAAUAUUCACUUUAGUGCUCUUUAGUUUUAACUUUGCUGUUGAUUUAACGAAAAAAUUAGUAGAGAAAAUAAUAAAAAAAAAAUAAAAUUAUAGUGUAUAAAAGUAGUACACUUUAAAUUACAAAGUAUUAAAGUGAAAAAGUGCGAAACUAUAAGAGUGGUAUUUAAAGUUUUUUUAAUUUUUAAUAUAGAUUUUAAUGUGGUGGGCAGCUUAGUUGACGUAAAAAUUUAAGUGAAAUAAGUUCAUGCUCAAGGUUAUGAUAAAGGAGUUUUUAAGUUGUGGAGAGGUAUGGUUUUUGUUUUUUCCAAGAAAAUCAUUUAUUAGUCUCUUACAUCAUAAAAUAAAAAGAAGAAAAUAAAAGAGCCAUGAACAAGGAAAAGUCUUUAAUGGCACCACAUACAAAAUAUUUCAAACUAAUCUUCUGUGCUGUACAUAGGGAUGUCAAUGGAUAUGAAUAUCCGAAAUUUUAUCCAAACUCGAACCCGAAUGAAAUGGAUAUAUCUGAUGGAUAUGAAUAUGAAUUCAGAUAUGGAUAUAAAAAAUAAAAACCCGACGGAUAUGAAUUCAGAUAUGGAUUUUGAUUGUAUCCAACCCGAACCCGAACCCGACCCGAACCCGAAUUUAUUUUGUAUUAUAUAUAAUAUAUAUAUAAAAAUUUGAUGUUAUAUUUGAAUUUGUAUUUUAAAUAUUUAGAUUUAAUACAAUAUAUUUUGAAAUAUUGAAAAAAGAAAUAAUUGUUUCGGAUUCAAAUUUUCGGAUUCGGGUUCGGAUUCGGGUUUCGGAUUUUUGGUCAGGUUCGGAUUUGGAUAUGAAUUUUUAGAAUCCGUCGGGUUUGGGUUCGAGUUCGGGUCUCGGAUUUGGAGUUGGGUUCGGGUUCGAAUUUUAAAAAUCUGUCCCGAAUUCAACCCGUUGACAUCUCUAGUUGUACAGGAUAAUUAAGGACAAUAUGGCAAUUUACUAUAAAAUAAUAUUUUAAGAGAAUUUUGUUAUACUUCUCUAUUAUGUCAAACCUUUUUUUAUCAAUUAUUACUAUUCCUUUGUGGAAUAACUAUAACAAAAAGGACUAUUUAUCAUCUUACAUGGCGCAAUAAGAUAGAGUUGAAAUAUAUGA
RNAcentral lists this long non-coding RNA (29531 nucleotides) under Ananas comosus (pineapple). RNAcentral's name for it is "long non-coding RNA (ACOM_LNC002794)". Lineage: Eukaryota; Viridiplantae; Streptophyta; Magnoliopsida; Poales; Bromeliaceae. The record is from RNAcentral.